RNAcentral lists this long non-coding RNA (1288 nucleotides) under Homo sapiens (human). RNAcentral describes it as "non-protein coding lnc-SPINT1-1:1". Lineage: Eukaryota; Metazoa; Chordata; Mammalia; Primates; Hominidae. The record is from RNAcentral.
AAAUGUACAGUACUCAAUUAUUAGUUAUAUUUGCCAUGUACAAUAGAUCUCAAACAAAAAUAUCAAACUUCCUCCUGAGGUAUUGUAUCCUUUCAUUAUCACCUCCCUGUACCCUCCACCCUCAUGUGAGCAUUUCUGACAUUAGAAUAAUUCCUCAAAAAUAACCCUUUAGGACACAGGGAGGGGAACAACACACACUGGGGCCUGUGGGGUAGGUUGGAGGGAGGGAGAGCAUCAGGAUAAAUAGUUAAUGCAUGCAGGGCUUAAUACCUAGGUGAUGGGCUGAUAGGUGCAGCAAACCACCAUGGCACAUGUUUACCUAUGCAACAAACCUGCACAUCCUGCACAUGUACCCCAGAACUUAAUAAAAUAAAAUAAAAUAAAAUAAAAACAGGAUGGGUGCAGUGACUCAUGCCUGUAAUCCCAGCACUUUGGGAGGCCGAGGUGGGUGGAUCACCUGAGGUUGGGAGUUCGAGACUAGCCUGACCAACAUGGAGAAACCCCAUCUCUACUAAAAAUACAAAAUUAGCCGGGCAUGGUGGCGCAUGCCUGUAAUCCCAGCUACUCAGGAGGCUGAGGGAGAAUUACUUGAAGCUGGGAGGCGGAGGUUGCAGUGAGCUGAGAUCGAGCCAUUGCAUUCCAGCCUGGGCAACAAGAGCAAAACUCUAUCUCAAAAAAAAAAAAACAACAACAAAAAACAACCCUUUAAGAGCUGUUAAAAGAAAAUCCAUAGCCAAAUUAGGCCAGGCGCAAUGGCUCACGCCUGUAAUCCCAGCACUUUGGGAGUUGUGGUGAGCUGAGAUUGCACCAUUGCACUCCAGCCUGGGCGACAAGAGCAAAUUUCUGUCUCAAAAAAAAAAAUCCAUAGUCAAAUUAAAUUUAAGAGUUCAAUUUAGCAAAGUACGAUUGGUAAAUUGGGCAGCAUUCUGAGCCAGAGUAGGCUCAGAGAUUUAUGGGCAGCAUAAGGAAAGUGAUGUACAGAAAAUGGAAAUGAGGGACAGAAACAGCCAGAUUGGUUACAGCUCAGUGUUUGCCUUAUUUGAAGAGGGUUUGAACAGUUGGCCCCUUUUGAUUGGCCAAAACUUGGUGUUUGGCACAAGGGUAGAUUACAGGCUGUUUACACCUCCAUUUAGGUGACAGUUCACUAUGUACAGAGAAACCUUUACGUCAAACUCAAAAUAUGUAAGGAGGCUAAAUUUGAUUUAACAGAGCUGUAGCAGUAUCUGUGAGGGGCUGUCUUUUUAAAAUAGAAGUUAAAUUGGCUGGGCACAGUGGCUCACACCUGUAA